RNAcentral lists this ribosomal RNA (490 nucleotides) under uncultured bacterium. RNAcentral's name for it is "bacterial SSU rRNA". It matches the Rfam family "Bacterial small subunit ribosomal RNA", at positions 1 to 507 of the family's 1533-position model. The record is from RNAcentral.
CGCGACGUAGUUGACUCAGUCGGCUACGAGAGACGCUGGCGGCGUGCCUAACACAUGCAAGUCGAGCGAGUGGAACUUCUUCGGAAGAGAAGCUAGCGGCGGACGGGUGAGUAACACGUGGGCAACCUGCCUCAUAGAGGGGGAUAACACACCGAAAGGUGUGCUAAUACCGCAUAAUAUAUGUUUACCGCAUGAUAGACAUAUCAAAGAUUUAUCGCUUAAGGAUGGACUCGCGUCUGAUUAGAUAGUUGGUGAGGUAACGGCUCACCAAGUCGACGAUCAGUAGCCGAACUGAGAGGUUGAUCGGCCACAUUGGGACUGAGACACGGCCCAGACUCCUACGGGAGGCAGCAGUGGGGAAUAUUGCGCAAUGGGGGAAACCCUGACGCAGCAACGCCGCGUGAAGGAUGAAGGUCUUCGGAUCGUAAACUUUUGUCUUAUGGGAAGAACAAGGACGGUACCAUAGGAGGAAGCCACGGCUAACUACGUG